This 965-nucleotide long non-coding RNA is filed under the name Vulpes vulpes (red fox). RNAcentral's name for it is "lncRNA (ENSVVUG00000002692.1)". Lineage: Eukaryota; Metazoa; Chordata; Mammalia; Carnivora; Canidae. The record is from RNAcentral.
GAUAAAUACUACCUCAUCUGAUCUCUCUUAUAUGCGGAAUCUAAAAACAAACCAGCAAACAAACAACCAAGCUUGCAGACGUAACACGCUGGUGGUUGCCAGAGGUGGGAGAAACAGAUGGAGGGGGUCAAAACAAAAAGAAGAAUAAAGCACUCGUGAUGACUUUGUCUCUCCCUUUCUGGUCCUGGCGACGUUACCAUCUUUCAUCUCUCCGGUGUGCAGGCCCUGCUCUCCAGAAUAGAGCUGAGACCGUGGACACACAUGGGCCCCAGCGCGGGAGAUGCAGAGCCGCUGUGCUGGCUGAUGGGGGAGAUGCACAGUGUCUGAGGACUCGGAACCCAGCCCAGUGUGCAGAGGUUGACCCGACAAGUGCAGCCAAAAAAUCGGUGUGAAAUUUCUGUUUUAGAAGAUGCAGCCCCUCUGCUUUAAAGGAAUCUAGUUUCUUCUGUAGGAAGGAGAAGAGUGAGGCUUGUCCCCUGGGAGUUAAGCGUUCUUCGGUGUCCAGGGACGGAAGCGAGACGAAGUGGAGGCAGAGGGAGGACAGAGCCCUCCCAUGGCACCAAACCCCAAACCUGCACCCCUAUGGAGGUCCUCAUUCUGGCCCCUGGUAAAAUUCACAUUAUAUAAAGUCCAUCAUUUGUCGACUCGUCCUGGGGUACCACUGUACCACUGUCUCUCCGCCCCAAACAGAAACCCCAUCCCUGCCAGCAGUUGCUCUGUUUCCUCUCCUCCCAGCCCUGGAAACCAGCAGGCUGCUUCUGAUCUCUGCUCUGAGCACAUGCAUAUGUACACUUGUUCUCAUGGCUCCUGAAUUACACCCAGAAGAGGAAUGGUGGGGCAUGAGAUCUCAGGCCCACGGGUGUACCUAUGGCUCCUAGAUGAGAUGUAAGACCAGGUUUGAAUACAAAUGAAGAUCUGCAAACCCAGACUGAGCUUUCAUCACCGAAACAAGAAAAAUAAACACA